Molecule: long non-coding RNA, 1010 nt
Organism: Oncorhynchus tshawytscha (Chinook salmon)
Lineage: Eukaryota; Metazoa; Chordata; Actinopteri; Salmoniformes; Salmonidae
Exons: 3
Source: RefSeq, a predicted model, not a curated record
UACAGCCCCGUCGAUGAGAAUGGGGGUGUGCUCAGUCAUACUUUUCCUGUAGUCCACAAUCAUCUCCUUAGUCUUGUCUACGUUGAGGGAUAGGUUGUUUGCUCUUUUGGUCCUGGGCUGAAGAGGUCAGUGUUUAGGUUUCAUUUACACUCCCAGGGGUUUGUGAACUUCAUGACAUUUAUCUGCGGUGCACAUUAGGCCUACAUGGAGAUGUGAUGAUGUUAUAUUCUUCCCUUAGAGUGUCUAGCAGCAUGUCAUGUUAUUUACUUGUUAGUACUCUGCGAAUUGUUCCGCGUCAUUGUCACAGCAAUGUGUUUUGUUUUGACUGAAUACAGAACUUUCAUUAGAACACUGAAUUGCUACAUGUACCUCAAACCCCAUGUAGAUGGAUGGAGUUGUUUUCCCUCCUCAGAUUCAGACCCUCUAGGAGGGAAACCCCUGUAAACACCGGCAGAGCAGAGCCCUGUGCCAGCGACACACUCCAAUGCUGCUGAACCUCACCACAGAGAAGGGCCAACAGCAAACACCAUGCAGGCCUGCACGCAGAACCCUCAGACACUUAACACUCUGACUAGCCAUUCAUAUUAAACACAGACUUGGCCUACAGUAACACUUAAACAGCUUGUAAAGUAAGUGGUUAUUACAGCCACUGUAUCUGACUGUGUGUUUAUGUACAGCGCCACCUGGUGAGGGAAGAGUGAGGCUCAGCCUCAACCUGCCCAUCAUCAACCCAUAGAGACUGCAGACAGCCAAAGUACUGGUGGAGUACAGCUGGAGCUGUAAAGGUCGAUGCCUUGGCUGAUAGAGAUCAACGCCAGCCCCACCAUGGGCACCUCUACAGCAGUGACAACACGCCUGUGUGCUGCCGUGCAGGGGACACUCCCUGGGUGGAGCUGGACCUCUGGUUGGACCGAGGGGUACACACUGGGGGCUUUCAGCUGAUAUACAAACAGCCCCGUCGAUGAGAAUGGGGGUGUGCUUACACCUCCUUUUCCUGAAGUCCAUGAUGG